AUUGAACGCUAGCGGCAUGCUUUACACAUGCAAGUCGAACGGCAGCGCGGACUUCGUUCUGGCGGCGGGUGGCGAACGGGUGAGUAAGGUAUCCGAACGUGCCCAGUCUCUGGGGAUAACUACGCGAAAGCGUAGCUAAUACCACAUACGCCCUACGUUCGAAAGCAGGGGAUCGUAAGACCUUGCACCUUUGGCGCGCCCGAUCACGGAUUGGCUAGUUGGUGGGGUAACGGCUCACCAAGGCGACGAGCCGUAGCUGGUUUGAGAGGACGACCAGCCACACUGGGCUUGAGCCACGGCCCAGACUCCUACGGGAGGCAGAAGUGGGGAAUUUUGGACAAUGGGGGAAACCCUGAUCCAGACAGCCCGCGUGUGCGAUGAAGGCCUUCGGGUUGUAAAGCACUUUUGGCAGGAAAGAAACGUCGCGGGCUAAUACCCCGUGGAACUGACGGUACCUGCAGAAUAAGCACCGGCUAACUACGUG
RNAcentral lists this ribosomal RNA (484 nucleotides) under uncultured bacterium. RNAcentral describes it as "partial 16S ribosomal RNA". It matches the Rfam family "Bacterial small subunit ribosomal RNA", at positions 30 to 507 of the family's 1533-position model. The record is from RNAcentral.